This 301-nucleotide ribosomal RNA is filed under the name uncultured bacterium. Its description in RNAcentral is "partial 16S ribosomal RNA". It matches the Rfam family "Bacterial small subunit ribosomal RNA", at positions 509 to 807 of the family's 1533-position model. The record is from RNAcentral.
CAGCAGCCGCGGGAAUACGUAGGUGGCAAGCGUUGUCCGGAAUUAUUGGGCGUAAAGGGCUCGCAGGCGGUUUCUUAAGUCUGAUGUGAAAGCCCCCGGCUCAACCGGGGAGGGUCAUUGGAAACUGGGAAACUUGAGUGCAGAAGAGGAGAGUGGAAUUCCACGUGUAGCGGUGAAAUGCGUAGAGAUGUGGAGGAACACCAGUGGCGAAGGCGACUCUCUGGUCUGUAACUGACGCUGAGGAGCGAAAGCAUGGGGAGCGAACAGGAUUAGAUACCCCUGUAGUCCCUGUCUCUUAUAC